UAAUACGAAGGGGGCUAGCGUUGCUCGGAAUCACUGGGCGUAAAGGGUGCGUAGGCGGGUCUUUAAGUCAGGGGUGAAAUCCUGGAGCUCAACUCCAGAACUGCCUUUGAUACUGAGGAUCUUGAGUUCGGGAGAGGUGAGUGGAACUGCGAGUGUAGAGGUGAAAUUCGUAGAUAUUCGCAAGAACACCAGUGGCGAAGGCGGCUCACUGGCCCGAUACUGACGCUGAGGCACGAAAGCGUGGGGAGCAAACAGG
RNAcentral lists this ribosomal RNA (256 nucleotides) under uncultured archaeon. RNAcentral describes it as "partial 16S ribosomal RNA". It matches the Rfam family "Bacterial small subunit ribosomal RNA", at positions 521 to 776 of the family's 1533-position model. The record is from RNAcentral.